GAUGAAGAACGUAGCGAAAUGCGAUAAGUAAUGUGAAUUGCAGAAUUCAGUGAAUCAUCGAAUCUUUGAACGCACCUUGCGCUCCUUGGUAUUCCGAGGAGCAUGCCUGUUUGAGUGUCAUUAAUAUAUCAACCUCUUCAGCUUAUGCUUGUUGAGUGUUGGAUGGUGGGGGUUUGCUGGUGUCUUAUGAAGUCAGCUCCUCUGAAAUGCAUUAGCGGAACAAUUUGUUGACCGUUCAUUGGUGUGAUAAAAAUAUCUACGCUAUUGACGUCAGUCAGUUCAGCUUCUAACAGUCCAUUGACUUGGACAAAUUUUUCAUUAAUGUGACCUCAAAUCAGGUAGGACUACCCGCUGAACUUAAGCAUAUCAAUAAGCGGGGA
Molecule: unclassified non-coding RNA, 380 nt
Filed under: soil metagenome
Description: partial contains 5.8S ribosomal RNA, internal transcribed spacer 2, and large subunit ribosomal RNA
Rfam family: 5.8S ribosomal RNA (bases 1-120)
Source: RNAcentral